Molecule: ribosomal RNA, 1372 nt
Filed under: marine metagenome
Description: bacterial SSU rRNA
Rfam family: Bacterial small subunit ribosomal RNA
Source: RNAcentral
GUAUAGGAACUUGCCUAGUAGUGGGGGACAACGUGUGGAAACGCACGCUAAUACCGCAUAAGCUCUACGGAGGAAAACGGGGGAUCUUCGGACCUCGUGCUACUAGAUGGGCCUAUAUUGGAUUAGCUAGUUGGUGAGGUAAAGGCUCACCAAGGCGACGAUCUCUAGCUGGUUUGAGAGGAUGAUCAGCCACACUGGGACUGAGACACGGCCCAGACUCCUACGGGAGGCAGCAGUGGGGAAUAUUGCACAAUGGAGGAAACUCUGAUGCAGCGAUGCCGCGUGAGUGAAGAAGGCCUUUGGGUUGUAAAGCUCUUUCGUCGGGGAAGAAAAUGACUGUACCCGAAUAAGAAGGUCCGGCUAACUUCGUGCCAGCAGCCGCGGUAAUACGAAGGGACCUAGCGUAGUUCGGAAUUACUGGGCUUAAAGAGUUCGUAGGUGGUUGAAAAAGUUGGUGGUGAAAUCCCAGAGCUUAACUCUGGAACUGCCAUCAAAACUUUUCAGCUAGAGUAUGAUAGAGGAAAGCAGAAUUUCUAGUGUAGAGGUGAAAUUCGUAGAUAUUAGAAAGAAUACCAAUUGCGAAGGCAGCUUUCUGGAUCAUUACUGACACUGAGGAACGAAAGCAUGGGUAGCGAAGAGGAUUAGAUACCCUCGUAGUCCAUGCCGUAAACGAUGUGUGUUAGACGUUGGAAAUUUAUUUUCAGUGUCGCAGGGAAACCGAUAAACACACCGCCUGGGGAGUACGACCGCAAGGUUAAAACUCAAAUGAAUUGACGGGGACCCGCACAAGUAGUGGAGCAUGUGGUUUAAUUCGAAGAUACGCGCAGAACCUUACCAACACUUGACAUGUUCGUCGCGACUCUAAGAGAUUAGAGUUUUCGGUUCGGCCGGACGAAACACAGGUGCUGCAUGGCUGUCGUCAGCUCGUGUCGUGAGAUGUUGGGUUAAGUCCCGCAACGAGCGCAACCCUCACUUUUAGUUGCCAUCAUUAAGUUGGGCACUCUGAAAGAACUGCCAGUGAUAAGCUGGAGGAAGGUGGGGAUGACGUCAAGUCCUCAUGGCCCUUACGUGUUGGGCUACACACGUGCUACAAUGGCAUCUACAACAGGAAGCAAAACGGCAACGUUAAGCAAAUCCCGAAAAGAUGCCUCAGUUCGGAUUGCACUCUGCAACUCGAGUGCAUGAAGCUGGAAUUACUAGUAAUCGUGGAUCAGCGUGCCACGGUGAAUGCGUUCCCGGGUCUUGUACACACCGCCCGUCACACCAUGGGAGUUGGUUCUACCUUAAGGCAAGGUUUUAAACCCUUGACCACGGUAUAGUCAGCGACUGGGGUGAAGUCGUAACAAGGUAGCCGUAGGGGAACCUGCGGCUG